RNAcentral lists this ribosomal RNA (502 nucleotides) under uncultured bacterium. RNAcentral's name for it is "partial 16S ribosomal RNA". It matches the Rfam family "Bacterial small subunit ribosomal RNA", at positions 30 to 523 of the family's 1533-position model. The record is from RNAcentral.
AUUGAACGCUGGCGGCAGGCUUAACACAUGCAAGUCGAGCGGGGUGAUGGUGCUUGCACUAUCACUUAGCGGCGGACGGGUGAGUAAUGCUUAGGAAUCUGCCUAUUAGUGGGGGACAACAUCUCGAAAGGGAUGCUAAUACCGCAUACGUCCUACGGGGGAAAGCAGGGGAUCACUUGUGACCUUGCGCUAUAGAUGAGCCUAAGUCGGAUUAGCUAGUUGGUGGGGUAAAGGCCUACCAAGGCGACGAUCUGUAGCGGGUCUGAGAGGAUGAUCCGCCACACUGGGGCUGAGACACGGCCCAGACUCCUACGGGAGGUAGCAGUGGGGAAUAUUGGACAAUGGGGGGAACCCUGAUCCAGCCAUGUCGCGUGUGUGAAGAAGGCCUUAUGGUUGUAAAGCACUUUAAGCGAGGAGGAGGCUCUUUUGGUUAAUACCCAAGAUGAGUGGACGUUACUCGCAGAAUAAGCACCGGCUAACUCUGUGCCAGCCGCCGCCGUAA